This 241-nucleotide long non-coding RNA is filed under the name Carica papaya (papaya). RNAcentral describes it as "long non-coding RNA (CPAP_LNC004098)". The record is from RNAcentral. Lineage: Eukaryota; Viridiplantae; Streptophyta; Magnoliopsida; Brassicales; Caricaceae.
AGCGUUGUCCUCAAUGCUAAGAAGAAUAAUCAAAGCAGCUAAUAAUGAUUGAGGCAUAAUAACAAAGAAUACUCUCCUAAAAAUCGUUGUAAGGUGCUGGUGGUGACAGUAGUGAUGCAAGGUGUGCCUUUUCAUGAGUUGGGGGCACUUUGUGGUUGUCGGCUACAAGGGAUAAAAUUGAAAAGAAGAGUUAAGGUUCUUUUUGUUUUUAAAGUUAUUGUUGUUGUUUUUUAAAGACUUG